GGUGAAUGCUGGCGGCGUGGAUAAGGCAUGCAAGUCGAACGGUCCGCAAGGACAGUGGCAGACGAGGUAGUAACGAGUAGGUACACCCCCCGAAGUCGGGCAUAGCCAGCCGAAAGGUUGGGUAAUUCCCGAUGGUGUCGCAAGACUAAAGAUUUAUCGCUUCGGGAGUGGCCUGCUUAAUAUCAGCUAGUUGGUGAGGUAAUGGCUCACCAAGGCUACGACGUUUAGGGGAGCUGAGAGGCUGACCCCCACCGAUGGGACUGCGACACG
This 270-nucleotide ribosomal RNA is filed under the name uncultured bacterium. RNAcentral describes it as "partial 16S ribosomal RNA". It matches the Rfam family "Bacterial small subunit ribosomal RNA", at positions 28 to 328 of the family's 1533-position model. The record is from RNAcentral.